CUCACCAGAACCACCUGCCGGACACGCCAAAAUCACCAGCCGGCUACGCCACAAUCACUUGUCAGACAUUCCGGAAUCACCUGCCGGGCAUGCUGGAACCACCUCUCAGAGGUGCCACAACCACAUGCCGGAGAUGCUGGAAGCACCUGCCGAGAAUGCUGGAAGUUCCUGAUCCACUCCACAGAACCACCAGCCGGAAACGCCAAAAUCACCUGCCUGCUACACCAGAACCACUUGGCAGGCAAGCCAAAAUCACGUGAAGGGCAUGCCGACACAACCUCUCUGACGUGCCAGAACCUCGUGCUGGACACCCCAGAACCACCUGCCGGACACACUGGAGCCAUCUGCCGGACACGCCGGAACCACCGGCUCGACUCGCCGGAACCACUGCUGGACAUGCAAAAUCACCUGCCAGCUACGCCAGAACCAAUUGGCGGACACUCCAGAAACACCUGUCAGGCCGGCCGGAACCACCUGCACGACUCCCCAGAACCAGCUGCCGGACAUGCCAAAAUCACUUGCCGGCUACACCACAACCAGUUGGUGGACACUUCGGAAUCACCAGCCGGGCUGGCUGGAACCACCUGCCGGUCACGCCCACAUCACCUGUCAGCUCCGCCAGAACCACUUGGCGGACACUCCGGAAACACCUGUCGGGCCGGCCGGAACCACCUCUCAGACGUGCCAGAACCAUGUGCCUGAGAUGCCGGAACCACACCCCGAACAGACCGAAGCCACCUGCCACACCCGCCUGAACCACCUGCCGAGCACGCCGGGACCACCUGCACGACUCGCCGGAACCAACUACCUGACACGCCAAAAUCACCUGCCGGCUAUGCAAGAACCACUUGGUGAACACUCCGGAAUCACCAGCCGGGCAUGCCGGAACCACCUCUCAGACAUGCCGGAAUCACAUACCAAUGACACUGGAAGGACCUGCCGAGCAUGCCGGAACCACCUGCUCGACUCUCCAGAACCCCCUGCCGGACACGCCAAAAUCACCUUCCGGGUAUGCCAGAACCACUUGGAGGACACUCCAGGAUCACCUUUCGGGCAUGCCAGAACCACUUCUCAGACUUGCCAGAACCAUGUUCCGGACACGCCGGUACCACCUGCCGAGUAUGCCGGAACCACCUGAUACACUCUGCAGAACCACCUGCUUUGCAUGCCAAAAUCACCUGCCAGCUACGCCAGAACCACUCUGCAGACACUCCGGAACCAUCUCCAAGAUAGACCGGAACCACCUGCCUGACACGCCGGGACCACCUGUUUGACUCGCCAGAACCACCUGCCAGACACGCCAAAAUCACCAGCCGGCUACGCCACAACCACUUGUCGGACACUCCGGAAUCACCUGCCGGGCAUGCUGGAACCACCUCUCAGAGGUGCCACAACCACAUGCCGGAGACGGCGGAAGCACCUGCCGAGAAUGCCGGAAGUUCCUGAUCCAUUCCACAGAACCGCCUGCCGGACACGCCAAAAUCACCGGCCGGCUACGCCAGAACCACUUGGCGGACACUCCAGAAUCACCUGCCGGGCAUGCCAGCACAGCCUCUCUGAAGUGCCAGAAGCACGUGCCGGACAGGCCGGAACCAUCUCCCGGAAAGACCGGAACCAAAGGAAACACUCGCCGGAGCAACCUGCUUGACUCACCAGUCCCACCUGCCUGACAUGCCAAUAUCACCUGCCCGCUACAGGAGAAUCACUUGGGGGACAAGCCGGAAUCACGUGAAGGGCAUGCCAACACAACCUCUCAGACGUGCCAGAGCCUCGUGGCGGACACCACAGAACCACCUGCCGGACACACCGGAACCACCUGCCGGACACGCCGGAACCACUUGGCGAACACUGCAGAAUCACCUGUUGGGCAUGCCGGAACCACCUCUCAGACUUGCCAGAACCAUGUAGCAGACAGGCCGGUACCACCUGCCGAGUAUGCUGGAACCACCUGAUCCACUCCCCAGAAACACCUGCUGGACACGCCAAAAUCACUUGCCAGCUACACCACAACCAGUUGAUGGACAAGCCGGAAUCACGUGAAGGGCAUGCCGACACAACCUCUCAGACGUGGCAGAAACUCGUGCCAUACACCCCAGAACCACCUGCCGGACACACCGGAACCACCUGCCCGACACGCCGGAACCACCGGCUCGACUCGCGGGAACCACCGCCGGACAUGCAAAAUCACCUGCCGGCUACGCCAGAACCAUUUGGCGAACACUCCAGAAUCACCUGCCGGGCAUGCCGGAACCACCUCUCAGACAUGCCAGAACCACAUGCCAAUGACACCGGAAGCACCUGCCGAGCACGCUGGAACCACCUGCUCGACUCGCCAGAACCACCUGCCAGACACGCCAAAAUCACCUGCCGGCUAGGCCACAAUCAGUUGGUGAAUACUUCGGAAUCACCUGCCGGUCACGCCAACAUCACCUGCCAGCUACGCCAGAACCACUUGGCGCACACUCCGGAAACACCUGUCAGGCCGAAGGGAAACAACUCUCAGACGAGCCAGAACCAUGUGCCUGAGAUGCCGGAAUCACACCCCGAACAGACCGAAACCACAUGCCAGACCCGCCUGAACCACCUGCUGAGCACGCCGGAACGACCUCCUUGACUCGCCGGAACCACCUACCUGACACGCCAAAAUCAACUGCUGGGUAUGCCAGAACCACUUGGUGGAAACUCCGGAAUCAUCUGCCGGACAUGCAAGAACCAGCUCUCAGACACGCCAGAAUCACGUGCCCGACACGCCGGAAGCACCUGCUGCGCAUGCCUGAGCCACCUGCUCGACUCGCAAGAAACACCUGCCGGACACGCCAAAAUCACCUACCAGGUAUGCCAGAACCACUCGGCGGACACUCCAGAAUCACGUGUCUGGUAUGCCGGAACCACCUCUCAGAGGUGCCAGAACCACAUCCUGGACACGCCGGAAUCACCUGUCGGGCAUGCCGGAACCACCUCUCAGACUUGCCAGAACCAUGUUCCGGACAUACCGGUACCACCUGCCGAGUAUGCCGGAAUCACCUUAUCCACUCCCCAGAACCACCUGCUGGACACGCCAUAAUCACCUGCCGGCUACGCCAGAAACACUCGUCAGACACUCCAGCCACCUCUAGGACAGACCAGAACCACCUGCAGGACACGCCGGAACCACUGGCUCGAAUCUCCGGAACCACUGCCGGACAUGCAAAAUCACCUGCCGGCUACGCCAGAACCACUUGGCGAACACUCCGGAAUCACCUGCCGGGCAUGCCGGAACCACCUCUCAGACAUGCCAUAACCACAUGCCAAUGACACCGGAAACACCUGCCGAGCAGGCUGGAACCACCUGCUCGACUCGCCACAGCCACCUGACGGACACGCCAAAAUCACCUGCCAGCUACACCAGAACCAAUCGGCAGGCAUUCCGCAACCACCUCCAGGACAGACCGGAACCACCUUCCGGACAGACCGGAACCACUGGAAACACUCGCAGGAACAACCUGCUUGACUCACCGGUCCCACCUGCCGGACACACCAAAAUCACCUGCUCGCUACACCAGAACCACUUGGCGGACAAGCUGGAAUCACAUGAAGGGCAUGCCGACACAAUCUCUCAGACGUGCGAGAACCUCGUGCCGGACACCCCAGAACCACCUGCCGGACAGACCGGAACCACCUGCCGGACACACCGGAACCACUGGCUCAACUCUCCGGAACCAACGCUGGACAUGCAAAAUCACCUGCCGGCUACGCCAGAACCACUUGGUGAACACUCCGGAAUCACCUGUCGGGCAUGCCGGAACAACCUCUCAGACAUGCCAGAAGCACAUGCCAAUGACACUGUAAGCACCUGCCAAGCACACCGGAACCACCUGCUUGACUCGUAAGAACCACCUGCCGAGCACGCCAAAAUCACCUGCCGGGUACGCCAGAACCAAUUGGCGGACACUCCGGAAUCACCUGUCGGGCAUGCCGGAACCAACUCUCAGAAUUGCCGGAACCAUGUUCCGGACACGCCGGUACCACCUGCCGAGUAUGCCGGAACCACCUGAUCCACUCCCAAGAACCACAUGCUGGACAUGCCGGAACCACCUGCCUGACAGGCCAAAAUCAUAUGACACUCCAGAAUCACCUGCAGGGCAGGCCAGCAGAACCUCUCAGAAGUGCCAGAAGCACGUGCCGGACAGCCCGGAACCAUCUGCUGGACAGACCGGAAAGACAGGAAACACUUGCUGGAACCACCUGCUUGACUCACUGGUCCCACCUGCCGAACAUGCAAAAUCACCUGCCGGCUACGCCAGAACCACUUGGCGAACAGUCUGGAAUCACCUGCCGGACAUGCUGGAACCACGUGCCAAUGACACCGGAAGCACCUGCCGAGCACACCGGAACCACCUGCUCGAAUUGCCAGAACCACCUUUUGGACACGCCAAAAUAACCAGCAGGCUAUGCCACAACGACUUGUUGGACAUUCCGGAAUCACCUGACGGUCAUGCUGGAACCACCUCUCAGAGGUACCACAAACACAUGCCAGAGACGGCGGAAGCACGUGCCGAGAAUGCCAGAAGUUCCAGCUCCACUCCACAGAACCGCCUGCCGGACACGCCAAAAUCUCGUGCCGGCUACGCCAGAACCACUUGGCGGACACUCCAGAAUCACCUGCCGGCAUGCCAGCACAACCUCUCAGAAGUGCCAGAAGCACGUGCCGGACAGGCCGUAACCAUCUCCCGGAGAGACCGGAACAACAGGAAACACUCGCCGGAACCACCUGCUUGACUCACCGGUCCCACCUGCCGGACAUGCCAAAAUCACCUGCCCGAUACACCAGAACCACUUGGUGGACAAGCUUGAAUCACGUGAAGGGCAUGCUGACACAACCUCUCAGACGUGCCACAACCUCGUGCCGGACACCCCAGAACCACCUGCCGGAAAGACGGGAACCACCUGCCGGACACCCCGGAACCACCGGCUCAAGUCGCCGGAACCACCGCGGGACAUGCAAAAUCACCUGCCGGCUACGCCAGAACCAUUUGCCGAACACUCCGGAAUCACCUGCCGGGCAUGACGGAACCACCUCUCAGACAUGCCAGAACCACAUGCCAAUGACACCGGAAGCACCUGCCGAGCACGCCAGAACCACCUGCUCGACAUGCCACAGCCACCUGCCGGACACGCCAAAAUCACCUGCCGGCUACACCUGAACCACUUGGCGGACACUUCAGAAUCACCUGCCGGGCAUGCCAGCACAACCUCUCAGAAGUGCCAGAAGCACAUGCCGGACAGGCCGGAACCAUCUCCCAGACAGACCGGAACCACGGGAAACACUCGCCGGAACCACCUGCUUGACUCACCGGUCCCACCUGCCGGACACGCCAAAAUCACCUGCCCGCUACACCAGAACCACUUGGCGGACAAGCCGGAAUCACGUGAAGGACAUGCACACACAACCUCUCAGACGUGCCAGAACCUCGUGCCGGACACCCCAGAACCACCUGCCGGACACACUGGAACCACCUGCUGGACACACCGGAACCACCGGCUCGACUCGCUGGAACCACCUACCUGACACGCCAAAAUCACCUGCCGGGUAUGCCAGAACCACUUGGUGGACACUCUGGAAUCAUCUGCCGGACAUCCCAGAACCAGCUCUCAGACAGACCAGAAUCACGUGCCGGACAUGCCGGAAGCACCUGCUGCGCAUGCCUGAGCCACCUGCUCGCCUCGCAAGAAACGCCUGCUGGACACGCCAAAAUCACCUGCCAGGUACGCCUCAACCACUCAGCGGACACUCCGGAAUCACCUGUCGGGCAUGCCGGAACCACCUCUCAGAGGUGCCAGAACCACAUCCCGGACACUCCGGAAUCACCUGUCGGGCAUGCCGGAACCACCUCUCAGACUUGCCAGAACCAUGUUCCGGACACGCCGGGACCACCUGCCGAGUAUGCCAGAACCACCUGCUCCACUCCACAGAACCGCCUGCGGGACAUGCCAAAAUCACCUGUCGGCUAUGCCAGAACCACACGGCAGACACUCCGGAAACACCUCCACGACAGACCAGAACCACCUGCCGGAUACGCCGGAACCACCGGCUCGAUUCGCAGGAACCCCCGCAGGACAAGCAAAAUCAGCUGCCGGCUAUGCCAGAACCACUCUGUGAACAAUCCCGAAUCACCUUCCGGGCAUGCCGGAACCACCUCUCAGACAUGCCAGAACCACAUGCCAAUGACACUGGAAGAACCUGCCGAGCACGCCAGAACCACCUGCCCGACUCGCCAGAACCACCUGACAGACACGCCAAAAUCACCUGCCGGCUACGCCACAACCAGUUGGUGAACACUUCGGAAUCACCUGCCGGGCUGGCUGGAACCACCUGCUGGUCACGCCCACAUCACCUGUCAGCUACGCCAGAACCACUUGGCGUACACUCCGGAAACACCUGUCGGGCCGGCCGGAACCACCUCUCAGAUGUGCCAGAACCAUGUGCCUGAGAUGCCGGAAGCACACCCCAACAGACCGAAACCACCUGCCAGAGCCGCCUGAACCACCUGCCGAGCACGCCGGAUCCACCUGCUCGACUCGUCGGAACCACCUACCUGACACGCCACAAACAACUGCUGGCUAUGCCAGUACCACUUGGCGAACCCUCCGGAAUCACCUGCCGGGCAUGCCGGAACCGCCUCUCAGACAUGCCAGAACCACAUGCCAAUGACACCGGAAGGACCUGCCGAGCACGCCGGAACCACCUCUCAGACAUGCCAGAACCACAUGCCAAUGACACUGUAAGCACCUGCCGAGCACACCGGAACCACCUGCUUGACUCGUCAGAACCACCUGCCGGGCACGCCAAAAUCACCUGCCGGGUAUGCCAGAACCACUUGGCGGACACUCCGGAAUCACCUGUCGGCAUGCCGGAACCACCUCUCAGACUUGCCGGAACCUUGUUCUGGACAUGCUGGUAACACAUGCCCGGUAUGCCGGAACCACCUGAUCCACUCCCCAGGAACACCUGCUGGACACGCCAAAAUCACCUGCCGGCUACGCCACAACCACUCGGCAGACAAUCUGCAACCACCUCCAGGACAGACCGGAACCACCUGCUGGACACGCCGGGACCACCUGCUGAGCAUGCCGGAACAACCUGCUUGACUCGCUGGAGCCACCUGCCGGACAUGCCAAAUCAGCUGCCGGCUAUGCCAGAACCACUUGCCGGACACUCCAAAAUCACCUGCCUGGCGUGCCGGAACCACCUGAUCCACUCCCCAGAACCACCUGCUGGACCCGCCUGAACCACCUGCCGGCUACACGGGAACCACUUGGCGGACACUCCGGAAUCACCUGCCGUGCAUGCCGGAACCACCCCUCAGACGUGCCUGAAAAACGUGCCGGACACGCCGGAACCACCUCCCGGACUAACCGGAACCACCUUUCGGACAUGCCUGAACCACCUUACGAGCACGCUGGAACCACCUGCUCGACUUGGUGGAACCAUCUGCUGGAGACACCAAAAUCACCUGCCGGCUACGCCAGAACCACUUGCCGACACUCCGGAAUAACCUGCCAUUCAUCCCGGAACCGCCCCUCAGAUGUGCCAGAACCAGGUGCUGGACGCCCCAGGCCUCUUCCGUGAAAGACUGGAACCACCUGCUGAGCAUUCUGGAAACACCUGCUCGACUCCCGGGAACCGCCUCUGGGGAAACUGUCAUAGAAAUGCAGGUAAAACGGCCUUUCUUGCCAGCCCUUAACUCGCCACUUUAGAACUUCUGCUUCUGCCACAAUUGCACCUUGCCAACCCAGCUCAGACGAAAUGCCUACAUCUUCCCCUGAAGCAACUGGCCUGAGUCCCAAAUGAUUGAGCGUCCACGUGCUUAGGAGGCGAUAGACUGCACGCCUUUUUCCAACCACCAUUGUGCACUGCUGGAGAGAGUGUCAGAAAGCAGCUAUGUCAGAAAGACCCCUUUGGUCUCAGCCGUGCCCUCCAUUGCUCUAGACGUGGAAUGCACAAUGCACUGGCUCCCCCCCUCAAGGGGCGACAAGCCACAGACCACCUUGCUUCCAUCUCUUUAGGAAGCUGAGAAGGAACUCACUUUCAACAGUGAUCUUACAGAGUCCAGGGAACAUCUCAUACAAAGGCAGCUGAAACGCCAUUUCUUUUCAGCCCUUAACUUGCCGAUUUGGAACUUCUGUUUCUGCCACAUUUCCACCUUGCCAUCCGGGCUCCGACGAAAUGCCUACAUCUUACCCUUCAGCAACGGGGACGAGGCCCAUAUGACUGUGCUUCCACAUGCUUAAGAGGAGAGAGACAGGCUUUUUACAAUCACGGUUGUGCACUGGUGGAGAGAGUGUCAGAAAGCACCUAUGUCAGAAAGGUCCAUUUGAUCUCAGCCAUGCCCUGAAUUGCUCUAGAGGAGGAAGGCACAAUGCACUGCCUCUGGCUCCACCCCUCAAUGGCAGACGAACCACACACCUUCUUGCGUCCAGCUCUUUAGGACGCUGAGAAAGAGCUCGCAUUCCAUAGUGCUCUUAGAGCGUCCAGGGAACAUCUCAUACAAAGGCAGCUGAACGCCGUUUCUUGCAGCACUUCACUCGCCGAUCUGGAACAUCUGCAUGUGCCACAUUUCCACCUUGUCAACCCGGCUCAGACGAAAUGCCUACAACUUCCCCUUAAGCAAUGGGGACGAGGCCCGAAUGAUUGUUUUUGCACCUGCUUAGUAGGAGAGAGACAAUAGGCUUUUAACCAACCGCCCUUGAGCAAUGGUUGGGGGAGUGCCAGAAAGCACCAAUGUCAGAAAGGUCCCUUUGCUCUCAGCCGUGCCCUCCAUUGCUCUAGAGGUGGAAGGCACAAAGCACUGCCUCCAUCCUUCAAUUGCAGACAAGCCAUCAACUGUCCUGCUUCCAGCUCUUUAGGAAGCUGGGAAAGCACUCGCAUUCCACAGUGCUCUUACAGCGUCCUGGGAACAUCUCAUAGCAAGGCAGCUGAACGCCGUGUCUUUUCAGCCCUUAACUCGAAAAUCUGCAACAUCCGCUUCUGCCGCAUUUCCACCUUGCCAAUUCGGCUCAGAAGAAAUGCCUACAUCUUCCCCUUGAGCAAAGGGGAUGAGGCCCGGAUGAUUGUGGUUCCACAUGCUGAGGAGGAGACAGACAAUAGGCUUUGAACAAACCGCCUUUGAGCAAUGGUUGGGGGAGUGUCAGAAAGCACCAAUGUCAGAAAGGCCCUUUACUCUCGGCCGUGCCCUCCAUUCCUCUAGAGGCAGGAGGCACAAGGCACUGGCACCACCCCUGAAGGGGAUCAGAAAGCACCUAUGGCAGAAAGCCCCCUUUGCUCUCAGCCGUGCCCUCCACUGCUCUGCAGGUGGAAGGCACAAAGCACUGCCUCCAUCCUUCAAUGGGAGACAAGCCAUAAACUGUCUUGCCCCCAGCUCUUUAGGAAGCUGACAAACAACUCGCUUUCCAAAGUCCUGUUACAGCAGACUGGGAACUUCUCAUACAAAGGCAGCUCAAAUGGCAUUUCUUCCCAGCCCUUAACUCGCAGCUUUAGAACCUCUGCUUCUGCCGCAAUUCCACCUUGCCAACCCAGCUCAGACAAAAUGCCUACAUCUUCCCCUUAAGCAACUGGGCUGAGUCCCAAAUGAUUGUGCAACCAUGUGUUUAGCAGGAGAGAGACAAUAUGCUUUUCACCAACCACAGUUGACCACUGGUGGAGAGAGUGUCAGAAAACACCUAUGUCAGAAAGGCCCCUUUCCUCUCAGUUUUGCCCUCCAUUGCUCUAGACGUGGAAUGCACAAUGCAUUGGCUCCAACCCUCUAGGGGCGACAAGCCACAGACCAUCUUUCUUCCGUCUGUUUAGGAAGUUGAGAACCAACUCACCUGACGCAUAAAAAGGAAUCAUGCCCCUUAGAUGCCAUAAAACACCGGGAGACAUGCCAAAAACACCCUCCGCACACUCUCAAAGAACCACACAUUCAUGGCAGAACGACCCAACUGGUACACCAGAAGCACCCACGUUGCAUGCCAGAACCACCUGUAACCACCUGCUGAACACAGUGGAACAAUAAUUCUGACACUGCAGAACCAUCUCUUCAACAUGCCAGCUGCACACAACAGACACAACGGAACCAGAUUCCAAACGCAGCACAACGACAUGCCAGGCACAUUGGAAACACCUGAUGGAUAUGCCGCAAACAGGUGCCAGAAACAGUGAAACCACCUGCGGAGUAUGUCAGAACCGGAGGCCAGAAAUGCCACCAACACCUGUCUUACAAGCCAGAGCCACGAGCCCAAAAAGCAGGAAAGACCUGCUGGACAUGCCAAAAUAACCUGCUGGUGAUGCCAGAACCACUUGGAGGACACCCAGGAAUCACCUGCCAGGCAUGCCCGACGCGCCUCGCAGACGUGCCAGAACCACGUUCCGGACAUGCCAGAAACACCUCCGGGACAGACCGGAACCACCUGCCAGACUAGCCGGAACCACCUCUCAGACGUACCAGAACCACUUGCCGGACAAGCUGGAAACAUGUACUGCACAGACUGGAACCACCUGCUGAGCACGCUGGAACCAGCUGCCGGACACGCCAAAAUCACCUGCCGGCUACACCAGAACCACUUUGAGUACAAGCGGGAUAAUGUUUUGGGCAUGAUGGCACAACCUCUCAGACGUGCCAGAACCUCGUGCUGGACACCCCAGCACCACCUGCCGGACAGACCGGAACCACCUGACGGACACGCCAGAACAAGCGGCUCGACUCGCCGGAACCACCGCCGGACAUGCAAAAUCACCUGCCGGCUACGCAAGAACCACUUGGAGAACACUCUGCAAUCUCCUGCCAGGCAUGCCGGAACCACCUCUCAGACAUGCCAGACCCACAUGCCAAUGACACCGGAUGCACCUGCCGAGCAUGCCGGAACCACCUGCUCGACUCGCCAGAACCACCUAGCGGACAAGCCAAAAUCACCUGCCGGCUACGCCAGAACCACUCGGCAGACACUCCGGAAUCACCUGCCGGGCAUGCCGGAACCACCUGCCUCACAGGCCAAAAUCAUAUGCCGGCUACACCAAAACCACUUGGUGGACACUCCAGAAUCACCUUGCGGGCAUGCCGGAACCACGUCAUGGACAGACGGCAAACAACUGCCGGACCUGCCGGAAGCACCUGUCGGGCCGGCCGGAACCACCUCUCUGACGUGCCACAACCAUGUGCCUGAGAUGCCGGAACCACACCCCAAACAGAACGAAACCACCUGCCAGACCCGCCUGAACCCCCUGGCGAGCACGCCUGAUCCACCUGCUCAACUAGCCGGAACCACCUUCCUGACAUGCCAAAAUCCCCUGCGGGGUAUACCAGAACCACUUGGCGGACACUCCGGAAUCAUCUGCCGGACAUGCCAGAACCAGCUCUCAGACACACCAGAACCACGUGCCAGAGACGCCAGAAGCACCAGCUGAGCAUGCCUGAGCCACCUGCUCGACUCGCAAGAAACACCUGUCGGACAUGCCAAAAUCACCAGCCGGGUACGCCAGAAACACUUGGUGGACACUCCAGAAUCACCUUGCGGGCAUGCCGGAACCACGUCAUGCACAGACGGCAAACACCUGCCGGACCUGCCGGAACCACCUGCCGAGCACGCCGGAACCACCUGCUCGACUCACCAGAGCCACCUGCCGGACACACCAGAAACACCUGCGGGGUAUGCCAGAACCACUUGGAGGACUCUCCGGGAUCACCUGCCGGGCAUGCCGGAACCACCUCUCAGACGUGCCAGAACCAUGUGCCGGACACGCCGGAACCACCUGCCGUGUAUGCCGGAACCACCUGCUGGACACGCCAAAAUCACCUGCCGGCUACACCAGAAUCACUUGGUGGACUCUCCUGGAUCACCGGCCGGGCAUGCCGGAACCACCUCUGAGACAUACCAGAACCACGUGCCAGACACGCCGGAACCACAUCCUGGACAGACUGGACCCACCUGCCGUACAUGCCCGAACCUCCUGCCGAGAAUGCCAGAAACACCUGCUCGGCUCCCGGGAAAAUCCUACGGGGAAACUGUCAUAGAAAUGAAGGUCAAACGGCCUUUCUUGCCAGACCUUACCUCACCACUUUAGAACUUCUGUUUCUGCCACAAUUCCACCUUGCCAACCGGGCUCAGACGAAAUGCCUACAUCUUCCCCUUGAGCAAUGGGGACGAGGCCCGGAUGAUUGUGGUUCCACAUGCUGAGGAGGAGAGAGACAAUAGGCUUUUAACUAACCACCAAGUGCAAUGGUUGAGAGAGUGUCAGAAAGCACCAAUGGCAGAAAGACCCCUUUACUCUCAGCAGUGCCCUCCAUUGCUCUAGAGCAGGAAGGCACAAAGGAAUGCCUCAAUCCUUCAAUGGGAAACAAGCCAUAAAAUGUCUUGCUUCCAGCUCUUUAGGAAGCUGAGAAAGAACUCGCUUUCCACAGUGCUGUUAAAGCAUACGAGGAAACACUCGUACAAAGGCAGCUCAAACGCCAUUUCUUCCCAGUGCUUAACUCGCCGCUUUAGGAAUUCUGCUUCUGCCGCAAUUCCACCUUGCCAACCCGGCGAGACGAAAUGCCUACAUCUUGCCCUGAAGCAACUGGGCUGUGUCCCAAAUGAUUGAGCGUCCACGUGCUUAGGAGGUGAUAGACUGCACGCCUUUUUACAACCACCAUUGUGCACUGUUGGAGAGAGUGUUGGAAAGCAGCUAUGUCAGAAAGACCCCUUUGCUCUCAGCUCUGCCCUCCAUUGCUCUAGACGUGGAAUGCACAAUUAACUGGCUCCACCCCUCAAGGGGUGACAAGCCACAGACCAUCUUCCUUCCAUCUCUUUAGGAAGCUGAGAAAGAACUCGCUUUCAACAGUGCUCUUUCUGUGUCCUGGCAACAUCUCAUACAAAGGCAGCUGAUAUGCCGUUUCUUUUCAGCGCUUAACUCGCGGAUUUAGAUCUUCUGCUUCUGCCAGAUUUCCACCUUGCCAACCCCGCUCAGACAAAAUGCCUACAUCUUCCCCUUCAGCAACGGGGACGAGGCCCAGAUGAUUGUGCCUCCACAUGUUUAGCAAGAGCAGACAAUAGGCUUUUUACAAACUGCCAUUGUGCACUGGUGCAGAGAGUGUCAGAAUGCACCAAUGGCAGAAAGAUCCCUUUACUUUACUCUCAGCCGUGCCCUCCAUUGCUCUGCAGGUGGCAGGCACAAAGCACUGCCUCCAUCCUUCAAUGGGAGACAAGCCAUAAACUCUCUUGCUUCCAGCUCUUUAGGAAGCUGAGAAAGAACUCGCUUUCCACAGUGCUGUACAGCAUACGAGGAAACUCUCAUACAAAGGCAGCUCAAACACCAUUUCUUCCCAUCGCUUAACUCGCCGCUUUAGGACUUCUGCUUUUGCCGCAGUUCCACCUUGCCAACCCGGCUCAGACGAAAUCCCUACAUCUUCCCCUUGAGCAAUGGGGACAAGGCCCGGAUGAUUGUGGUUCCACAUGCUGAGGAGGAGACAGACAAUAGGCUUUUAACCAACCGCCCAUGAGCAGUGGUUGGGGUAGUGUCAGAAAGCACCAAUGUCAGAAAGGCCCUUUACUCUCGGCCGUGCCCUCCAUUCCUCUCAUGGUAGGAGGCACAAGGCACUGGCACCACCCCUGAAGGGUAUCAGAAAGCACCAAUGGCAGAAAGCCCCCUUUGCUCUCAGCCGUGCCCUCCAUUGCUCUGCAGGUGGAAGGCACAAAGCACUGCCUCAAUCCUUCAAUGAGAGAGAAGCCAUAAACUGUCUUGCCUCCAGCUCUUUAGGAAGCUGAGAAAGAACUCGCUUUCCACAGUGUUGUACAACAUACGAGGAAUCUCUCAUACAAAGUCAGCUCAAAUGCCAUUUCUUCCCAGCGCUUAACUCGCCGCUUUAGGACUUCUGCUUCUGCCGCAGUUCUACCUUGCCAACCUUGCUCAGACGAAAUGCCUACAUCUUCCCCUGAAGCAACUGGGCUGAGUCCCAAAUGAUUUAGCAUCCACCUGCUCAGGAGGCGACAGACUGUAAGCCUUUUUCCAAACACCAUUGUGCACUGGUGGAGAGAGUGUCAGAAUGCAGCUAUGUCAGAAAGACCCUUUUGCUCUCAGCCAUACCCUCCAUUGCUCUAGAUUGCAAUGCACAAUGCAUUGGCCCCACCCCUCAAGGGGCCACAAGCCACAGACCAUCUUCCUUCCUUCUCUUUAGGAAGCUGAGAGCAAACUCACCUGACGUAUAAAAAGGAAUCAUGCCCCUUAUGUGCCAGAAAACCCCGGGAGACAUGCCAAAAACACCCUCUGCACACUCUCAAAGGGCCACACAUUCAUGCCAGUAUGACCCAACAGGCAUACCAGAAGCACGCACGUUGCAUGCCAGAACCACCUGUAACCACCUGCCGGACACAGUGGAACAGUGAUUCUGACACUGCAGAACCAUCUCUUCAACAUGCCAGCCGCACACAAUGACAUGACGGAACCAGAUUCCAAACAUAGCACAACGACAUGCCAGACACAUUGUAAACACCUGUUGGAUAUGCCACAAACAGGAGCCAGAAACUCUGAAACCAGCUGAGUAUGAAAGAACGGGGGCCAGAAGUGCCACAAGCAUCUGUCUUACAAGCCAGAGCCAUGAGCGCAAAAAGCAGGAAAGACCUGCCGGACACACCAAAAUAACCUGCCGGUGACGCCAGAACCACUUGGCAGACACCCAGGAAUCACCUGCCAGGCACGCCUGAAGCACCUCACAGAUGUGCCAGAACCACGUGCCGGCCAUGCCGGAACCAGCACCCGGACAGACCAGAAGCACCUGCCAGACACGCCGGAACCACAUGCCGCGCAUGCCGGAACCACCUCUCACACAUGCCAGAACCAUGUGCCAAUGACCCCGGAAGCACCUGCCGAGCACGCCGGAACCACCUGCUCGACUCGCCAGAACCACAUGCUGGACACGCAAAAAUCACCUGCCGGCUACGCCAGAACGAGUUGGUGGACUCUCUGGAAUCACCUGCCGGGCAUGAUAGAACCACCUCUCAGACGUGCCGGAACCAUAUGCCAGACACGCCGGAACCACCUCCCGGACAGACCGGAACCACCUGCCGGACCUGCCAGAUCCAACGGUCGAGCAUGCAGGAACCACCGGCUCGACCCUCCGGAACCAAUGCCAGACAUACAAAAUCACCUGAAGUCUAUGCGAGAAGCACUUGGCAAACACUCCGGAAUCACCGGCCGGGCAUGCCAGAACCACCUCUCAGACAUGCCAGAACCACGUGCCAAUGACCCCGGAAGCACCUGCCGAGCACGCUGGAACCACCUGCUCGACUCGCCAGAACCACCUGCCAGACACGCAAAAAUCACCUGCCGGCUGCGACACAACCAGUUGGUGAACACUUCGUUAUCACGGGCCGGGCUUGCUGGAACCACCUGCCGGUCAUGCCAAAAUCACCUGCCAACUACACCAGAACUGCUUGGCGGACACUGCCCAAACACCUGUCGGGCCGGCCGGAACCACAUCUCAGACGUGCCAGAACCAUGUGCAUGAGAUGCCGGAGCCACAACCCAAACAGACGGAAACCGCCUGCCAGAACCGCCUGAACCACCUGCCAAGCACGCCGGAACCACCUGCUUGACUCGCCGGAACCACCUACCUGACACGCCAAAAUCACCUGCCGGGUACGCCAGAACCACCUGGCUGACACUCCGGAAUCAUCUCUCGCGCAUGCCGGAACCACCUCUCAGACAUGCCAGAAGGACGUGUCAGACACGCCGGAAACACAUACCGGACAGACCGGAACCACCUGCCAGACAUGCUGGAACCACCUGCCAAGCACACCGUAGCCACCUGCCCGACUCUCCGGAACCACCUGCUGGACACGCCAAAGUCAACAGCUGGCUAUGCGGGAAACACCUGGGGCGCAGUCCGGAAUCACCUGCCGGGCAUGCAGGAACCAACUCUCAGACGUGCCAGAACUGGUGCCAGACACCCCAGAACCACCUGCCGGACAGACCGCAGCCACCUGCCGGACAUGCCGAGAACAAGCGGCUCGACCCGCAUGAACCACCGCCAGACAUGCAAAAUCACCUGCCGGCUACGUCAGAACCACUUGGGGAACAAUCCGGAAUCACCUGCCAGGCAUGCCGGAACCAUCUCUCAGACAUGCCAGAACCACGUGCCUAUGACACCGGAAGCACCUGCUGAGCAUGCCUGAGCCACAUGCUCGACUUGCAAGAAACACCUGCCAGACACGCCAAAAUCACCUGCCGGGUACGCCAGAACCACGUGGCGGACACUCCGGAAUCACCUGUCGGGCAUGCAGGAACCACCUCUCAGACAUGCCUGAACCACAUGCCAAUGUCACCGGAAGCACCUGCCAAGCACGCCAGAACCACCUGCUCGACUCGCCAAAACCACCUGCUGGACACGACAAAAUCACCUGUCAGCUACGCCACAACCAUUUGGUGAACACUCCGGAAUCACCUGCCGGGCAUUCCGGGACCACCUCUCAGACUUGCCAGAACCAUGCCCAGGACACGCCGGUACCACCUGCCGAGUAUGCCGGAACCACCUGAUCCACUCCCCAGAACCACAUGCUGGACACGCCAGAAUCACCUGCCGGCUGCGCCAGAAACACUCGGCAGACACUCCGGAACCACCUGUCGGGCAUGCUGGAACCACCUCUCAGAGGUGACAGAACCACAUGCCGGACACUCCGGAAUCACCUGCCGGCCAUGCCGGAACCAUCUCUCAGACGUGCCAGAACCAUGUUCCGGACACGCCAGUACCACCUGCCAAGCUCACCACAACCACCUGCUGGACACGCCAAAAUCACCUGCCGGCUAGGCCAGAACCACUUGGCAGACACUCCGGAAUCAACUGCCGGGCUUGCUGGAACCACCUGCCGGUCACGCGAACAUCACCUGCCAGCUACGCCAGAACCACUUGGCGGACACUCCGGAAAAACCUGUCGGACCGGCCGGAACCACCUCUCAGAUGUGCCAGAACCAUGUGCCUGAGAUGCCGGAACCACACCCCGAACAGACCGAAACCACCUGCCAGACCCCCCUGAACCACCUCCCGAGCACGCCGCAACCACCUACUCGACUCGCCGGAACCACCUACCUGACACGCCAAAAUCACCUGCCGGGUAUGCCAGAACCACUUGGUGGACACUCCGGAAUCAUCUGCCGGACAUGCCAGAACCAGCUCUCAGACACACCAGAACCACAUGCCGGAUAUGCCGGAAGCACCUGCUGAGCAUGCCUGAGCCACAUGCUUGACUCACCGGAAACACCUGCCAGACACUCAAAAAUCACCUGCCGGGUACGCCAGAACCACGUGGCGGACAGUCCGGAAUCACCUGUCGGGCAUGCCGGAACCACCUCUCAGACGUGCCUUAACCUCGUGCCGGACACGCCAGAACCACCUGCCGGACAGACCAGAACCACCUGCCGGACACGAUGCAACCACCGUCUCGACUCACUGGAACCACCGCUGGACAUGCAAAAUCACCUGCCGGCUAUGCCAGAACCACUCGUCAGACACUCCGGAAUCACUUGCCAGGCUUGCUGGAACCACCUGCCGGUCACGCCAACAUCACCUGCGAGCUACGCCAGAACCACUUGGCGGACACUCCGGAAUCACCUGUCGGGCAUGCAGGAACCACCUCUCAGACUUGCCAGAACCAUGUUCAGGACACGCCGGUACCACCUGCUGAGUAUGCCGGAACUACCUGAUCCACUCCCCAGAACCACCUGCUGGACAUGCCAGAAUCACCUGCCGGCUAGGCCAGAACCACUCGGCAGACACUCUGGAACCACCUGUCGGGCAUGCCGGAACCACCUCUCAGAGGUGCCAGAACCACAUGCCGGACACUCAGGAAUCACCUGCCGGGCAUGCCGGAACCAUCUCUCAGACGUGCCAGAACCAUGUUCCGGACACGCCGGUACCACCUGCCGAGCUCGCCACAACCACCUGCUGGACACGCCAAAAUCACCUGCCGGGUAUGCCAGAACCACUUGGUGGACACUCCGGGAUCAUCUGCCGGACAUGCCAGAACCAGCUCUCAGACACACCAGAACCACAUGCCGGACAUGCCGGAAGCACCUGCUGAGCAUGCCUGAGCCACAUGCUCGACUCGCAAGAAACACCUGCCAGGCAGUCAAAAAUCACCUGCCGGGUACGCCAGAACCACGUGGCGGACACUCCGGAAUCACCUGUCGGGCAUGCCGGAACCACCUCUCAGACGUGCCUUAACCUCGUGCCGGACACGCCAGAACCACCUGCCGGACAGACCAGAACCACCUGCCGGACAUGAUGCAACCACCGUCUCGACUCACUGGAACCACCGCCGGACAUGCAAAAUCACCUGCCAGCUAUGCCAGAACCACUUGGCGGACACCAUUGAAACACCUGUCGGGCCGUCCAGAACCACCUCUCAGACGUGCCAGAACCAUGUGCCUGAGAUGCCGGAACCACAUCCCGAACAUACCGAAACCACCUGCCAGACCCGCCUGAACCACCUGCCGAGCACGCCGGAACCACCUACUCGACUCGCCGGAACCACCUACCUGACACGCCAAAAUCACCUGCCAGGUAUGCCAGAACCACUUGGCGGACACUCCGGAAUCAUCUGCCGGACAUGCCAGAACCAGCUCUCAGACACACCAGAACCACGUGCCGGACACGCCGGAAGCACGUGCUGAGCAUGCCUGAGCCACAUGCUCGACUUGCAAGAAACACCUGCCAGACACGCCAAAAUCACCUGCCGGGUACGCCAGAACCACGUGGCGGACACUCCGGAAUCACCUGUCGGGCAUGCCGGAACCACCUAUCAGGCUUGCCAGAACCAUGUUCCGGACACGCCGGUACCACCUGCCUAGUAUGCCGGAACCACCUGAUCCACUCCCCAGAACCACCUGCUGGACACGCCAGAAUCACCUGCUGGCUACGCCAGAACCACUCGGCAGACACUCCCGAACCACCUGCCGGGCAUGCCGGAACCACCUCUCAGACGUGCCAGAACCACUGCCGGACACUCCGGAAUCACCUCCCGGGCAUGCCGGAACCACCUCUCAGAGGUGCCAGAAACACAUGCCGGACACUCCGGAAUCACCUGCCGGGCAUGCUGGAACCACCUCUCAGAGGUGCCAGAACCACAUGCCGGAGACUCCGGAAUCAUCUGUCGGGCAGGCGGAACCACCUCUCAGACUUGCCAGAAUCAUGUUCUGGACAGGGCGGUACCCCCUGCAGAGUAUGCCGGAACCACCUGAUCCAUUACCCAGAACCACCUGCUAGACACACCAAAAUCACCUGCCGGCUACGCAAAAAACCACUCGGCAGACACUCCGGAACCACCUCCAGGACAACCCGGAACCACCUGCCGGACACGCCGGGACCACCUGCUUGACUCGCCAGAACCACCUGCUGGACAUGCCAAAAUAUCCUGCCGGGUACGCCUGGAACACUUGGCGGACACUCCGGAAUCACAUGUCGGGCAUGCCAGAACCACCUCUCACAACUGCCAGAACCAUUUGCCGGAAACGCCGGAACCACCAGCCGGCUACGCCACAACCACUUGUCGGACCCUCAGGAAUCACCUGCCGGGCAUGCUGGAACCAGCUCUCAGAGGUGCCACAACCACAUGCCGGAGACUGCGGAAGCAGCUGCCGAGAAUGACGGAAGUUCCUGAUCCACUCCCCAGAACCACCUGCCGGACAUGCCAAAAUCACCUGCCGGGUACGCCAGAACCACGUGGCGGACACUCCGGAAUGACCUGUCAGGCACGCCGGAACCACCUCUCAGAGGUGCCAGAACCUCGUGCCGGACACGCCAGAACCAACUGCUGGACAGACGGGAACCACCUGCCGGACGCUCCGGAACCACCGGCUCGACUCGCCGGAACCACCGCUGGACAUGCAAAAUCACCUGCCGGCUACGCCAGAACCACUUGGCGAACACUACGGAAUCACCGGCCGGGCAUGCCGGAAUCACCUGCUCGACUCGCCACAGCCACCUGCCUGACACACCAAAAUCACCUGCCGGCUAUGCCACAACCAGUUGGUGAACACUUCGGAAUCACCUGCCGGGCAUGCUGGAACCACCUGCCGGUCACGCCAACAUCACCUGUCAGCUACGCCAGAACCACUUGGCGGACACUCCGGAAUCACCAGAGCCACCUGCAGGACACGUCAAAAUCACCUGCCGGCUACCACACAACCAGUUGGUGAACACUUCGGAAUCACCUGCCGGGCUUGCUGGAACCACCUGCCGGUCACGCCAACAUCACGUGCCAGCUACGCCAGAACCACUUGGCGGACACUCCGGAAUCACCUGACGGGCAUGCUGGAACCACCUCUCAGAGGUGCCACAAACACAUGCCGGAGACGGCGGAAGCAUCUGCCGAGAAUGCCUGAAGUUCCUUAUGCACUCCCCAGAACCACCUGCCAAAGAUGCCAAAAUCACCUGCCGGGUAUGCCACAACCACUUGUCGGACACUCCAGAACCACCUGCCGGGCAUGUUGGAACCACCUCUCAGAGGUGCCACAACCACAUGCCGGAGACGGCGGAAGCACCUGCCGAGAAUGCCGGAAGUUCCUGAUCCACUACACAUAACCACCUGCUGGACACGCCAAUAUCACCUGCCGGCUACGCCAGAACCACUUGGCGGACACUCCAGAAUCACCUGCCGGGCAUGCCAGCACAACGUCUCAGAAGUGCCAGAAGCACAUGCCAGAGAGGCCGGAACCAUGUCCCGGACAGACCGGAAACACAGGAAACACUCGCCGGAACCACCUCCUUGACUCACCGGUCCCACCUGCCAGACACGCCAAAAUAACCUGCCGGCUACGCCAGAACCAUUUGGCGAACACUGCCGAAUCACCUGCCGGGCAGGUCGGAACCACCUCUCAGACAUGCCAGAACCACAUGCCAAUGACACCGGAAGCACCUGCCGAGCACGCUGGAACCACCUGCUCGACUCGCCAGAAACACCUGCCACACACGCUAAAAUCACCUUCCGGCUGCACCACAACCAGUUGGUGAACACUUCGGAAUCACCUGCCGUGCUGGCUGGACCACCUGACUGUCACGACAAAAUCACCUGCAGGCUAUGCCAGGACCACUUGGCAGACACUCCACAACCACCUCCAGGACAGACCGGAAUCACCUGCCGGACACGCCAGGACCACCUGCUUGACUCGCCAGAACCCCCUGCAGGACACCCCAAAAUCACCAGCCGGCUACCCCACAACCACUUGUCCGACACUCUGGAACCACCUGCCGGGCAUGUUGGAACCACCUCUCAGAGGUGCCACAACCACAUGCCGGAGACGGCGGAAGCACCUGCCGAGAAUGCCGGAAGUUCCUGAUCCACUCCACAGAACCACCAGCCGGACACGCCAAAAUCACCAGCCGGCUAUGCCAGAACCACUUGGCGGACACUCCAGAAUCAACUGCCUGGCAUGCCAGCACAACCUCUCACAAGUGCCAGAAGCACAUGCCGGACAGGCCGGAACCAUCUCCCAGACAGACCGGAACCACAGGAAACACUCGCCGGUGCAACCUGCUUGACUCACCGGUCCCACCUGCCGGACACGCCAAAAUCACCUGCCCGCUACACCAGAACCACUUGGUGGACAAGCCGGAAUCACAUGAAGGGCAUGCCGACACAACCUCUCAGACGUGCCAGAACCUCGUGCCGGACACCCCAGUACCACCUGCCGGACACAACGGAACCACCUGCCGGACACGCCGGAACCACCGGCUCGACUCGCCGGAACCACCGCCGGACUUGGAAAAUCACCUGCCGGCUACGCCAGAAACACUUGGCGAACACUCCGGAAUCACCUGCCAGGCAUGCCGGAACCACCUCUCAGACACGCCGGAACCACAUGCCGAACACGCCACAGCCAUCUGCUCGACUCGCCGGAACCACCUGCUGGACAGACCGGAACCACCUGCCGGACACGCCGGAACCACCGGCUCGACUCGCCGGAACCAUUGCCGGACAAGCAAAAUCACCUGCCGGCUACGCCAGAACCACUUGGCGAACACUCCGGAAUCACCUGCCGGGCAUGGCGGAACCACCUCUCAGACAUGCCGGAACCACAUGCCAAUGACACCGGAAGCACCUGCCGAGCACGCCAGAACCACCUGCUCGACUCGCCAAAACCACCUGCUGGACACGCCAAAAUCAGCUGCCGGCUACGCCACAACCAUUUGGUGAACAUUUCGGAAUCACCUGCCGGGCUGGCUGGAACCACCUGCCGGUCACACCAACAUCACCUGCUAGCUAUGCCAGAACCACUUGGCGGACACCAUGGAAACACCUGUCGGGCCGGCCGGAACCACCUCUCAGACGUGCCAGAACCAUGUGCCUGAGAUGCCGGAACCACACCCCAAUCAGAACGAAACCACCUGCCAGACCCGCCUGAACCCCCAGGCGAGCACGCCUGAUCCACCUGCUCAACUACCCGGAACCACCUUCCUGACACGCCAAAAUCACCUGCCGGGUAUACCAGAACCACUUGGUGGACACUCCGGAAUCAUCUCCCGGACAUGCCAGAACCAGCUCUCAGACACACCAGAACCACAGGCCAGAGACGCCAGAAGCACCAGCUGAGCAUGCCUGAGCCACCUGCUCGACUCGCAAGAAACACCUGUCGGACAUGCCAAAAUCACAUUCCGGGUACGCCAGAAACACUUGGCGGACACUCCGGAAUCACCUGUCGGGGAUGCCGGAACCACCUCUCAGACUUGCCAGAACCAUGUUCUGGACAGGCCAGUACCACCUGCCGAGUAUGCCGGAACCAGCUGAUCCACUCCCCAGAACCACCUACUGGACACGCCAAAAUCAACUGCCGGCUAUGCCAGAACCACACGGCAGACACUCCGGAAUCACAUGCCAGGCAUUCCGGAACCACCUCUCAGAGGUGCCAGAACCACAUGCCGGAGACUCCGGAAUCACCUGCCGGGCAUGCCGGAACCACCUAUCAAAGGUGCCAGAACCACAUGCCGGAGACUCUGGAAUCACCUGCCGGGCAUGCCGGAACCUUCUCUCAGACGUGCCACAACCACGUGCCGGAGAGACCGGAAGCACCUGCCGAACUCUCCGGAACCACCUGCCUUACAGGCCAAAAUCAUACGCCGGAUACGCCAAAACCACUUGGUGGACACUCCGGAAUCACCUUGCGGGCAUGCUGGAACCACGUCAUGGACAGACGGCAAACACCUGCCG
This 23190-nucleotide long non-coding RNA is filed under the name Equus caballus (horse). RNAcentral's name for it is "lncRNA (ENSECAG00000052610.1)". The record is from RNAcentral. Lineage: Eukaryota; Metazoa; Chordata; Mammalia; Perissodactyla; Equidae.